CUCCCAGAAUCGGGUCGAUUCGGGUCCGAAUGUCUCCUUCUUCACCUGACUCCCUCCCCAUGCCCGAAACCCUAGCGCUGCUCCUCUCCUCCAUGCAAUCCAAUGUCGCCCCUACAAAUCACUGAUCACGGGCUUUGCGAUAAUAUCUCUUAUCGAUAAUAUCUCGGUUGCCUUUGCCCGGGGCCAGGCUUCAGAGCAGGAGCAGACGACGAAGUAGCAGCUGUGGGAAAGGAAAAUAAGAAAAUCUCCCUGAUUAGACUGAGCAGCUCCUCCAAUGGCAAUGGCAGUGGUGGGGCCGCUGAGAGGCAAUCGCAGGAUCAUCUUCGAGCAACAAAAGCAGCGAAAACAAAUAAGAGUGCUUCUUCAUCACCAAAGCCGAGUCUUGAAAAUCGGUAAUCAGUUCCAACAUCGUCAGAAGUAGAAGAAAGACAUGAGCAGAUCAUCAGCUUCGACUGUGGCUGCGAGGGCGUGGAUUGUGGCGGCGAGCAUAGCUGCCGUGGAGGCCUUCAAGGACUAGGGCUUUUGUCACUAGAACUACACCCUUCGAUCCCUUCACCAACUCACCAAGUCCAAAAUCUCCGGUUCCUAUUCCCACGCCGCUACCAAGCUCUCUGCGUCCUCUGGGGCUGUGUCUGACGCAGUGAGGGCGCAUUGGAGGAUGAGACGGCCGAAGGAAUCUCACCUUAAGGUGAUGGAGCUCAGCUGCUGGGGCCCCGAGUCAACCCGGUUUUAGGCCUCUUCAGAUUCCAGAAUCCUUCGUUAUGUACUUUAGGCCGCUGAAUCGAAUCGGAGUAGGGAAAAUCUUACUAGUGAUGGAGAGAUUAUUGACAUUGUUGUAUUGAAUUUGUCGAUUAGUUAUAUAACUAUAUCUGAAGUCGACUUCCAUAAAAAA
Molecule: non-coding RNA, 892 nt
Organism: Punica granatum (pomegranate)
Lineage: Eukaryota; Viridiplantae; Streptophyta; Magnoliopsida; Myrtales; Lythraceae
Source: RefSeq, a predicted model, not a curated record